Molecule: ribosomal RNA, 255 nt
Filed under: uncultured bacterium
Lineage: Bacteria
Description: partial 16S ribosomal RNA
Rfam family: Bacterial small subunit ribosomal RNA
Source: RNAcentral
UACGAAGGGGGCUAGCGUUGUUCGGAUUUACUGGGCGUAAAGCGCACGUAGGCGGGUCGUUAAGUCAGGGGUGAAAUCCCGGAGCUCAACUCCGGAACUGCCUUUGAUACUGGCGACCUUGAGGCUGGAAGAGGUUAGUGGAAUUCCCAGUGUAGGGGUGAAAUUCGUAGAUAUUGGGGAAGAACACCAGUGGCGAAGGCGGCUAACUGGUCCAGAUCUGACGCUGAGGUGCGAAAGCGUGGGGGAGCAAACAGG